RNAcentral lists this ribosomal RNA (253 nucleotides) under uncultured bacterium. Its description in RNAcentral is "partial 16S ribosomal RNA". It matches the Rfam family "Bacterial small subunit ribosomal RNA", at positions 524 to 776 of the family's 1533-position model. The record is from RNAcentral.
UACGUAGGAUCCAAGCGUUGUCCGGAUUUACUGGGUGUAAAGGGUGCGCAGGCGGACUUAUAAGUCAGGGGUGAAAUCUCACGGCUCAACCGUGAAACUGCCUUUGAUACUGUAGGUCUUGGAUGAGCGAGAGGUUCGUGGAAUUCCGAGUGUAGCAGUGAAAUGUGUAGAUAUUCGGAAGAACACCAGUGGCGAAGGCAGCGAACUGGCGCUUUAUCGACGCUCAGGCACGAAAGCAUGGGGAUCAAACAGG